This 301-nucleotide ribosomal RNA is filed under the name uncultured bacterium. Its description in RNAcentral is "partial 16S ribosomal RNA". It matches the Rfam family "Bacterial small subunit ribosomal RNA", at positions 509 to 808 of the family's 1533-position model. The record is from RNAcentral.
CAGUAGCCGCGGGAAUACAGAGGGUGCGAGCGUUAAUCGGAUUUACUGGGCGUAAAGCGUGCGUAGGCGGCUUUUUAAGUCGGAUGUGAAAUCCCUGAGCUUAACUUAGGAAUUGCAUUCGAUACUGGGAAGCUAGAGUAUGGGAGAGGAUGGUAGAAUUCCAGGUGUAGCGGUGAAAUGCGUAGAGAUCUGGAGGAAUACCGAUGGCGAAGGCAGCCAUCUGGCCUAAUACUGACGCUGAGGUACGAAAGCAUGGGGAGCAAACAGGAUUAGAUACCCGCGAGUCCCUGUCUCUUAUACA